AGAGUUUGAUCCUGGCUCAGGACGAACGCUGGCGGCGUGCCUAAUACAUGCAAGUAGAACGCUGAAGAGAGGAGCUUGCCCUUCUUGGAUGAGUUGCGAACGGGUGAGUAACGCGUAGGUAACCUGCCUUGUAGCGGGGGAUAACUAUUGGAAACGAUAGCUAAUACCGCAUAACAAUGGAUGACACAUGUCAUUUAUUUGAAAGGGGCAAUUGCUCCACUACAAGAUGGACCUGCGUUGUAUUAGCUAGUAGGUGAGGUAAUGGCUCACCUAGGCGACGAUACAUAGCCGACCUGAGAGGGUGAUCGGCCACACUGGGACUGAGACACGGCCCAGACUCCUACGGGAGGCAGCAGUAGGGAAUCUUCGGCAAUGGGGGCAACCCUGACCGAGCAACGCCGCGUGAGUGAAGAAGGUUUUCGGAUCGUAAAGCUCUGUUGUAAGAGAAGAACGUGUGUGAGAGUGGAAAGUUCACACAGUGACGGUAACUUACCAGAAAGGGACGGCUAACUACGUGCCAGCAGCCGCGGU
RNAcentral lists this ribosomal RNA (531 nucleotides) under uncultured bacterium. RNAcentral describes it as "bacterial SSU rRNA". It matches the Rfam family "Bacterial small subunit ribosomal RNA", at positions 8 to 521 of the family's 1533-position model. The record is from RNAcentral.